RNAcentral lists this ribosomal RNA (403 nucleotides) under bacterium. RNAcentral describes it as "partial 16S ribosomal RNA". It matches the Rfam family "Bacterial small subunit ribosomal RNA", at positions 355 to 776 of the family's 1533-position model. The record is from RNAcentral.
UGGGGAAUAUUGCACAAUGGGGGAAACCCUGAUGCAGCGACGCCGCGUGAACGAAGAAGGUAUUCGUAUCGUAAAGUUCUGUCCUAUGGGAAGAUAAUGACAGUACCAUAGAAGAAAGCUCCGGCUAAAUACGUGCCAGCAGCCGCGGUAAUACGUAUGGAGCGAGCGUUGUCCGGAAUUAUUGGGCGUAAAGGGUACGCAGGCGGUUUAAUAAGUCGAAUGUUAAAGAUCGGGGCUCAACCCCGCAAAGCAUUGGAAACUGAUAAACUUGAGUAGUGGAGAGGAAAGUGGAAUUCCUAGUGUAGUGGUGAAAUACGUAGAUAUUAGUAGGAAUACCAGUAGCGAAGGCGACUUUCUGGACACAAACUGACGCUGAGGUACGAAAGCGUGGGGAGCAAACAGG